UACGGGGGGGGCAAGCGUUGUUCGGAAUUACUGGGCGUAAAGGGCUCGUAGGCGGCCAACUAAGUCAGACGUGAAAUCCCCAGGCUCAACCUGGGAACUGCGUCUGAUACUGGAUGGCUUGAAUCCGGGAGAGGGAUGCAGAAUUCCAGGUGUAGCGGUGAAAUGCGUAGAUAUCUGGAGGAACACCGGUGGCGAAGGCGACAUCCUGGACCAACACUGACGCUGAGGAGCGAAAGCCAGGGGAGCAAACGGG
RNAcentral lists this ribosomal RNA (253 nucleotides) under uncultured bacterium. RNAcentral's name for it is "partial 16S ribosomal RNA". It matches the Rfam family "Bacterial small subunit ribosomal RNA", at positions 524 to 776 of the family's 1533-position model. The record is from RNAcentral.